GGUGAGUAACGCGUAGGAAUCUACCUAGUAGUGGGGGACAACUCGGGGAAACUCGAGCUAAUACCGCAUACGCUCUUAGGAGGAAAGUGGGGGAUCUUCGAACCUCACGCUAUUAGAGGAGCCUGCGUUAGAUUAGCUAGUUGGUGAGGUAAAGGCUCACCAAGGCGACGAUCUAUAGCUGGUCUGAGAGGACGAUCAGCCACACUGGAACUGAGACACGGUCCAGACUUCUACGGAAGGCAGCAGUCAGGAAUAUUGGGCAAUGGGCGAAAGCCUGACCCAGCGAUGCCGCGUGUGUGAAGAAGGCCCUAGGGUUGUAAAGCACUUUCAGUCGUGAAGAAAAGCGUUGGGUUAAUACCCCAGCGUACUGACGUUAACGACAGAAGAAGUACCGGCUAACUCCGUGCCAGCAGCCGCGGUAAUACGGAGGGUACGAACGUUAAUCGGAAUUACUGGGCGUAAAGCGCACGUAGGCGGACUUUUAAGUCAGAUGUGAAAUCCCGGGGCUCAACCUCGGAACUGCAUUUGAAACUGGAAGUCUGGAGUUCAGGAGAGGUUAGCGGAAUACCGAGUGUAGAGGUGAAAUUCGUAGAUAUUCGGUGGAACACCAGUGGCGAAGGCGGCUAACUGGACUGAUACUGACGCUGAGGUGCGAAAGUGUGGGGAGCAAACAGGAUUAGAUACCCUGGUAGUCCACACCGUAAACGAUGACAGCUAGUUGUUGGCAGGC
RNAcentral lists this ribosomal RNA (730 nucleotides) under uncultured bacterium. RNAcentral describes it as "bacterial SSU rRNA". It matches the Rfam family "Bacterial small subunit ribosomal RNA", at positions 105 to 831 of the family's 1533-position model. The record is from RNAcentral.